CAGAAAUUCCCUAAAAAGGACCAAAAGAUUGACAACCUAACAUUCUUAACUAAUAAUUAAACUAAAUUUCU
This 71-nucleotide transfer RNA is filed under the name Rhabdopleura sp. NHMO H2137. Its description in RNAcentral is "tRNA-Asp". The record is from RNAcentral. Lineage: Eukaryota; Metazoa; Hemichordata; Pterobranchia; Rhabdopleurida; Rhabdopleuridae.